RNAcentral lists this microRNA precursor (80 nucleotides) under Pelobates cultripes (western spadefoot toad). The record is from RNAcentral. Lineage: Eukaryota; Metazoa; Chordata; Amphibia; Anura; Pelobatidae.
UGUGUGUGUGUGUAUGUGUGUGUGUUUGUAUAUAUAUAUAUAUAUAUAUAUACAAACACACACACACACACACACAUACA